GUUGCGGUGUCCGAGUGGUUAAGGAGAUGGACUUGAAAUCCAUUGGGUUCUACCCGCGCAGGUUCGAAUCCUGUCCGCAGCG
This is a transfer RNA of Drosophila melanogaster (fruit fly), 82 nucleotides long. The record is from Ensembl. NCBI's taxonomy places the organism in Eukaryota, Metazoa, Arthropoda, Insecta, Diptera, Drosophilidae.